UUUUUACUAUAUCUUCACACUUUUUGAAACAGGAUAAAUGAGAAAGUUUGGCAAGAUGUAAGGAAAACCAUAUACUUCAUUAUUGGUAGGGAAAUUAAAUGGGCAAACCCUUUCUGGGGUGGUUAACAAUAUUUACCAAUUUUAAACAUGCAGACAGACCUUUUCUGCUAGCACAAGCUCAGGUUUAAAUAAGGUCACAUAUAUUUAUCACAGAGUUUAUACUCGAAAAAUAUGAGCAAUCUAACUAUCCAAAAGUGUUUGGUUGAUCCAUAUUACAGAUUCCAUAUAACGGAAUAUUUACAAUAUAGGUUCUAUACAAUGUAGAGUUUCAUACAGUCCAUAGAAAGUAUGAUAUAGAUCUAAGUAUGAACAUGGAUUCCAGAUUAGCUGACUAAAGACUUUUAUGAUACCUAAGAAAAGUGAGACAUACUAUACAUAAAAUGAUUGUAUUCAUUAAUAUUAUACACAUCUCUGUAGUCAUGUAAAGAAGGGUAGGUAUGAGAGAUCUGGAAGACAGCUGUCUUUGUUUUGUUUUGUUUUAAAAAAGAUGCUUUUCUGUAUUAUUUGAACUCAUUGC
This 577-nucleotide long non-coding RNA is filed under the name Bos taurus (domestic cattle). Its description in RNAcentral is "long non-coding RNA NONBTAT024077". Lineage: Eukaryota; Metazoa; Chordata; Mammalia; Artiodactyla; Bovidae. The record is from RNAcentral.